Long non-coding RNA from Amaranthus tricolor (Joseph's coat), 1697 nucleotides. RefSeq lists it as uncharacterized. The transcript is spliced from 3 exons. Lineage: Eukaryota; Viridiplantae; Streptophyta; Magnoliopsida; Caryophyllales; Amaranthaceae. The record is from RefSeq and is a predicted model, not a curated record.
AUUCUUUCAUCUGCAUCUGGAAAGCAGAAACCCUAAAUGUAGGGCACAUCCUCCACCUCUCAAUUAAUUUGUUUUCAGUUAAUUUUUUAACAGUUUCUUGUUCUUCAAUGUUUUGCAAAUUUGCUUACCGAGGCGUUGCGUUUACCGGCGAUUACGAAUCCGGUCAACGUGUCAAGGGAAGCGUAAAUCAAACCCCUGCAAUUCCAACUGAUUCAAUUUUUGAAAAUAUUGCAUCUUAAUCCAUAGUUUGCAUCUGGAGUUGGAUUGUACAAUCAAACAACCCUAAUUUAUAUGCUAAUUAAUGCCGAUUUUUUUUGUCGUUGCUUCAUAUGGUGAACUCUCUCUGUUGAUGAGAGUUGUUCGAGUUUCCCGAAGCAUAUAUCAAUAAUUUUUGACCAGUUUUAAACAGCUCGAUGAAUGGAUUACUCUGUUAAUCUAAUUACUUUCAUCGCGUUACCUGUCUGCUGGUACAUUCCCCUUUUUUAUAAAUUUAGGGUUUGCGAAAAUGCAGCUACCUCGCUUCUAACUUGUGAAAUUUCUCACUCUUUUUAGAUGGAGGAAUUCAUGUUUGGAAGUAAAAGUUCUACUGCAUUUUGUUCUGGAAUUCGGUCUAAUCUUCGCAUGGAAUUGGCAGAAUUUCUUGGUGCCCGUGCUUGGCUAGCAUGGACUACCAACAAAUCACAAUUAUAAAGUGAAGGUAUUCUUAUGACUGAAAAAUUGAUAAGAGUAAAUUAAGAGUGAUGAACCUUGGCUUGCGCAGAUGAAUGCUUUAGUGGCAAGUCAUUCCUCUGACCAAACAAUAUUUGUAGCACGUCUUGAUUGUUCAAGUGUGGCUCCUGAAAUGCAUUUACAAGCUUCAUGUGCAUCUUCUGCUCUGCAUAUUGAGCCAGGUAAUGGAGCAAUGAUGGUAAAUUUGUUUCUUACUGAAUAAUUUCUAUGGACUGCAUUAUUUGCACUUACCUGUGUGUUGCUGGCAGACAUCUACUUUUGCAUUAAGAUGAUUGCCAAUUCCGUCUAAUUUUCUUCUUAAACUCGCAAUCUCCCAUACAGCGCUAGAUAUUGAAUAUGGAUCCCUAUAUUUUCAAAUUCAGGUUUGACAAUCAGUCUGUCUUAAAUUUUGAUGUGGCGUGGACAUUGAUAGAGUUAGAGUAUAAAACCAAUUUUGAAAUUCUAACCAUCAGCUUAUGUUUUUGCUUGAGCUGACCUUCUCGACAUGGCAUUAGAAUUACAAGUUCGGGGUUCAGUAGAGUAUAAAACCAAUUGUACGCUGAUGAUUGGAGCUCAAGAUUGGUUUUGUACUCUUUUAGACAUUUUCUUAAAUAUAUUUUCCUUUAUAAGUUGAAAAGUCUAGCAUGCUGGUAGUAAAAAUUUGAAAAAUUCAAACUGCAUAACUGAAAGGCAAGAAGGUGCACUUGCUCAUCUUGGAGGGAUCUCAAAUUUGUGAUGAGAGACACACAGACUAUAAUGCUUCUGAUGAUCCAAUAAGCAGCAACAUAUAUUGACGAUUUUGUAGCUGCAACACUGACAGUUUCAUCCUGCAGCUCUAUGUGCCUUAUUGGUUCAAACAUGUUGAAGCUAUUUGGGUAUUGCUUAAGUAAUGCAAUUGAUGCAGCUAAAGGAUUCUGGCUUUGUGCCUGUAUGAUGACCCAGAAUUCGCCAAAGACUGUUGCAAAAGCGGACAAAGCUAGAAGAAGCUU